Molecule: non-coding RNA, 1639 nt
Organism: Amborella trichopoda
Lineage: Eukaryota; Viridiplantae; Streptophyta; Magnoliopsida; Amborellales; Amborellaceae
Source: RefSeq, a predicted model, not a curated record
UGGUUGCCGGUGCAAUUUUCUAUGCUGAUCUCUCUUUCUCUCUCUCUCUCUCGCUCUAGUAUAACGCAUACCUGACACUGUUUCUUAGGUGAUUUUUGACAUUGUUGUGGCUUCCAGUGUUUACUUGCUUUUUUUAAAUUUCAUGCUUUUGAUGUGUUCAGUUUCUGUGUGAUAUAGGCAUCCUUUAUAGGCUUCUUGAAUGUGGAAAACAACAUCGGAGUGUCACUAAAUAUGGAUGCUUAACUGAAUUUAACCUCCACUGUGGUGUUUCCCACUUGGGAUGAUGCUGGGAUGUGAAUUUGAAUGGUCAUAGCUGAUGUUUAUUAAGCACCUGGUGAAAACCAUGUCCUAGAUUGCCACCAUCCUGGAAAUGGUCAUUUAUGAUUUGAAUUUGACCUCUAAAACUUUGAGUGGGUUAUCAUAUUGACAUGCUAACUUCUCUUGCUGUUUAUCUAUAAUGUCCCCUUGAAAUGUUAGAGGCAAAGCUACACUUGAUACAAAGUUUUGUGCAUUUAUAUGGCAAUCUGUUCGAGGAACGGUAAUGUGGCACCUGGUCUGUUUGUGUCAGAGGCCCAUUAAAUUUGCUUUCGAUUUUGGCCCGGCCUUCAACUCUCCUUGUACUAAAUUUCUCUCUCUAUCGUUCUUCUGUUUUUAUAUGAAAUUAUGAAUUCUAUACUACUACCACAUUGGUGCUGGUCUCAUCAACACAAGAACCACCUGCUCUUACUUCCAAAAUAUUUAGAAUUUAGAUUUCAGAGAACUUCUCUUCCCACUCACCAAAUAAAAACACACACACACAGAUGUUUCCAAUUGGAUGUCUAUAGGAAACGAGUUGCAAAGGAAACUGCAGUUACAAAUCGAGGAACAUGCGAGGUACCUCCAAAAGAUGGCCGAUGAACGACAGAUAUGCGGUGAGAAUCUAGUCAGAAGCCAGAAUUUGUACAUUCCUUUUCAGAGAAACAUCUCAUAGAUCUUGAAACAUUGAAUCAAGUUAUGAACUUUUGGACAGGACUCCAUCAAGAUUCAGUUUUGGAGAUGGCCAAGAGUCAUGAAUGAGCUGGUGGCAGGCUUAGACCACAUCUGGGUUGUGGGUCUUACUUUAGCAUGAGACAGUGAUGCCAUCAGAGUCGAGUCAAGUCAAUUCAUCAAUAUAUAUUGUCCGGGGGUCAUCUUAAACAGACAGGUCACCUAUGGGAUGUAAAGAGUGUUGACUGGCACCCUACAAAAUGUUUGCUCGUUUCAGGUUCGGAUUUUUAUGAUACUGUGAAGGAGCUUGAACCUUAUUGUGGACAUCGCAAGGAUGUAACUGUGGCAGCAAUAACCACACAAUCAGGUUUUUGUGUAGAAACUGACCGGGAGAUACUUCACGUGAGAAACAUGUUGCUGACUACAAUCAAGGUACAGGUGAUGGUGCUGUUCUUGUAGCCUGCCUAUCAAGCAAUUUCCCAUUACCAGAAGCCCCACCCAUAAGAAAUUACGCGAGAGCUUAUGUAUGUGGAAGUGUCUAUCAAUGGAAAACCUACUAAGGCUAUGAUAGAAGGAAAAUAGAAAAGAAAAACAAAUGAAAAAUGACUGGCUAAGGUAUUUGAUUUGGAAAGUAUACAAAAGAGACUAUUUUUUUUUAAUAAAACAAGGUCGC